Molecule: ribosomal RNA, 88 nt
Filed under: Desulfovibrio sp.
Lineage: Bacteria; Pseudomonadati; Thermodesulfobacteriota; Desulfovibrionia; Desulfovibrionales; Desulfovibrionaceae
Description: partial 16S ribosomal RNA
Rfam family: Bacterial small subunit ribosomal RNA
Source: RNAcentral
UUGAACUGGAGAGUUUGAUCCUGGCUCAGAUUGAACGCUGGCGGCGUGCUUAACACAUGCAAGUCGUGCGAGAAAGGGGACUUCGGUU